GACGAACGCUGGCGGCGUGCUUAACACAUGCAAGUCGAGCGGUAAGGCCCUUUCGGGGGUACACGAGCGGCGAACGGGUGAGUAACACGUGGGUGACCUGCCCUCAGCUCUGGGAUAAGCCUGGGAAACUGGGUCUAAUACUGGAUAUGACUCCACGGUGCAUGUCGUGGGGUGGAAAGCCUUGUGCGGCUGAGGAUGGGCCCGCGGCCUAUCAGCUUGUUGGUGGGGUGANGGCCUACCAAGGCGACGACGGGUAGCCGGCCUGAGAGGGCGACCGGCCACACUGGGACUGAGACACGGCCCAGACUCCUACGGGAGGCAGCAGUGGGGAACCUUGCGCAAUGGGCGAAAGCCUGACGCAGCGACGCCGCGUGAGGGAUGACGGCCU
RNAcentral lists this ribosomal RNA (388 nucleotides) under uncultured bacterium. Its description in RNAcentral is "bacterial SSU rRNA". It matches the Rfam family "Bacterial small subunit ribosomal RNA", at positions 28 to 417 of the family's 1533-position model. The record is from RNAcentral.